GGAGGGAUGGCCGAGUGGUUUAAGGCGCUCGCCUGGAAAGCGUGUUGGGGGCAACCCCUCGAGGGUUCGAAUCCCUCUCCCUCCGCCA
This 88-nucleotide transfer RNA is filed under the name Rhodospirillaceae bacterium. RNAcentral's name for it is "tRNA-Ser". It matches the Rfam family "tRNA". Rfam says of the family: Transfer RNA (tRNA) molecules are approximately 80 nucleotides in length. Their secondary structure includes four short double-helical elements and three loops (D, anti-codon, and T loops). Lineage: Bacteria; Pseudomonadati; Pseudomonadota; Alphaproteobacteria; Rhodospirillales; Rhodospirillaceae. The record is from RNAcentral.